This 306-nucleotide ribosomal RNA is filed under the name uncultured bacterium. RNAcentral's name for it is "bacterial SSU rRNA". It matches the Rfam family "Bacterial small subunit ribosomal RNA", at positions 21 to 358 of the family's 1533-position model. The record is from RNAcentral.
GGCUCAGAAAGAACGCUGGCGGCGUGUUCUACACAUGCAAGUCGAACGAACCUUCGGGUUAGUGGCGGACGGGUGAGUAACGUUUGCCAAUCUGCCCUCAGGAGGGGGAUAACGGUUGGAAACGACCGCUAAUACCCCAUAUGCCGAGAGGUGAAAAGAAAUUCGCCUGAGGAUGAGCUCGCGUCUGAUUAGCUAGUUGGUGUGGUAAUGGCGCACCAAGGCUUCGAUCAGUAGCUGGUCUGAGAGGAUGAUCAGCCACACUGGGACUGAGACACGGCCCAGACUCCUACGGGAGGCAGCAGUGGG